This is a non-coding RNA of Pelobates cultripes (western spadefoot toad), 290 nucleotides long. The record is from the annotation of a GenBank genome assembly. Lineage: Eukaryota; Metazoa; Chordata; Amphibia; Anura; Pelobatidae.
AUUUUGUAUCUAUAUGACAUACACGUCCCAACUAUUGUAGUUAUACCCUGUGUGUUUCCUGUCCUCUGUAGCCUUGUUCGUUAAAAGCUGUCAGGUAACUGUGAAACGUUUUGCGUUGGUCUACUAAGUACAGUCGGAACUGCUAUUAUUUCGGUAUGUCACUUACGUUCAUCUGGAUUUUCUAGUAAGCUUACGUAUUGUGUGGGGUAUUUUUAGAAGUUAGUCGGGGUAAGAGUCCCCGUACCUAUCCCUCCUGGAACUGGCCCCGGACCAGCCAAGGCCUGCUUUGG